Molecule: non-coding RNA, 101 nt
Organism: Acanthosepion pharaonis
Lineage: Eukaryota; Metazoa; Mollusca; Cephalopoda; Sepiida; Sepiidae
Source: the annotation of a GenBank genome assembly
AGUGGCAUUGAAACACCGGUUCCUGUUCGAUUACCGAAGUUAAGCAAAGUCGAAUUUGGUCAGUACCUAAAUGGGUAACCGCUUGGGAAUACCAUGUGCUA